This 496-nucleotide ribosomal RNA is filed under the name uncultured bacterium. RNAcentral's name for it is "bacterial SSU rRNA". It matches the Rfam family "Bacterial small subunit ribosomal RNA", at positions 26 to 518 of the family's 1533-position model. The record is from RNAcentral.
UAGGACGAACGCUGGCGGCGUGCUUAACACAUGCAAGUCGAACGAGGAUACGUGGAAGGGCUUCGGCCUGGAAGGCGUAAUUCGAGUGGCGGACGGGUGAGUAACGCGUGAACAAUCUGUCCCGGACAGGGGAAUAACACUUGGAAACAGGUGCUAAUACCGCAUAAGACCACGCCCUCGCAUGAGGGAGGGGUAAAAGGAGCAAUCCGGUUCGGGGUGAGUUCGCGUCCGAUUAGAUAGUUGGUGAGGUAACGGCCCACCAAGUCGACGAUCGGUAGCCGACCUGAGAGGGUGAUCGGCCACAUUGGAACUGAGAGACGGUCCAAACUCCUACGGGAGGCAGCAGUGGGGAAUAUUGGGCAAUGGGCGAAAGCCCUGACCCAGCAACGCCGCGUGAGUGAAGGAGGCUUUCGGGUUGUAAAGCUCUGUUAUAGGGGACGAAGGAAGUGACGGUACCCUAUAAGGAAGCCCCGGCUAACUACGUGCCAGCAGCUGC